Long non-coding RNA from Chelonia mydas (Green sea turtle), 201 nucleotides. RefSeq lists it as uncharacterized. The transcript has 2 exons. NCBI's taxonomy places the organism in Eukaryota, Metazoa, Chordata, Testudines, Cheloniidae. The record is from RefSeq and is a predicted model, not a curated record.
CAGGAGCAGAAAGCAGGCUGUUUUCUCAAACAGUGAUGUAUUUUGCAGCAGACCUGAAGAAAGUGUGCAUAAUGGGGACCAUUGGAGGACAAUUUUGUUCUGACAGCCAAUCAAGCAAAUUAGUGUGAAUUACUUGGCAAUUCAUCAAACAGACCAAAGAGGGCUCUUAAAUAAAUAAAUAAAUAAAAACCCUGAAGGCGG